RNAcentral lists this ribosomal RNA (165 nucleotides) under Acinetobacter baumannii. RNAcentral describes it as "partial 16S ribosomal RNA". The stretch from base 50 to 165 matches the Rfam family "Bacterial small subunit ribosomal RNA", at positions 1 to 115 of the family's 1533-position model. The record is from RNAcentral. Lineage: Bacteria; Pseudomonadati; Pseudomonadota; Gammaproteobacteria; Moraxellales; Moraxellaceae.
GAUGAGCCAGAAUUGGCACCUUGUCUAUAAAUAAGGUGCAAAAUGAUUUUAACUGAAGAGUUUGAUCAUGGCUCAGAUUGAACGCUGGCGGCAGGCUUAACACAUGCAAGUCGAGCGGGGGAAGGUAGCUUGCUACUGGACCUAGCGGCGGACGGGUGAGUAAUG